Molecule: long non-coding RNA, 295 nt
Organism: Quercus robur (English oak)
Lineage: Eukaryota; Viridiplantae; Streptophyta; Magnoliopsida; Fagales; Fagaceae
Exons: 2
Source: RefSeq, a predicted model, not a curated record
CUCCAUAGUCGAAUUAUCACCCGCAUGAAAAAUGUGCUUCAGCUCAGAGACUUUCAACGUGGAAAAUGGUUGUUUUGACGAAAUCGACCGAGGCAGAAAUGACCUUUCAGGAAAUUUAUCGCUAAUGUCCGGCAUUGGUAUCACCUUCCCUUUCUUUAACAUAGACUCCCGAAAAAAUCUGCCGGAGCCACCCUUGGUGGUGGCAGAGUCGAUGGCAGAGUCGCCAUAGUUUUUUUGGAGGACUACAUCCAUAGAGUCGACGGCAGAGUCGCCAUAGUUUUUUUGGAGGACUACA